Molecule: ribosomal RNA, 496 nt
Filed under: uncultured bacterium
Lineage: Bacteria
Description: partial 16S ribosomal RNA
Rfam family: Bacterial small subunit ribosomal RNA
Source: RNAcentral
GAUGAACGCUGGCGGCGUGCCUAAUACAUGCAAGUCGAGCGAACAGAUGAGGAGCUUGCUCCUCUGACGUUAGCGGCGGACGGGUGAGUAACACGUGGAUAACCUACCUAUAAGACUGGGAUAACUUCGGGAAACCGGGGCUAAUACCGGAUAAUAUAUUGAACCGCAUGGUUCAAUAGUGAAAGACGGUUUUGCUGUCACUUAUAGAUGGAUCCGCGCCGCAUUAGCUAGUUGGUAAGGUAACGGCUUACCAAGGCAACGAUGCGUAGCCGACCUGAGAGGGGGAGCGGCCAAAAGGGAAAGAGGAAAGGGCCAAAAACCCAAGGGGGGGAAAGAGGGGGAAACUUUCCGAAAGGGGGGAAAGCCUAAGGGAGAAACCCCGGGGGGGGGAAGAAGGUUUUGGGAUCGAAAAACCUUGUUAUGAGGGAAAAAAAAAUGGGAAAGUAACAAGGAACGUUUGAAGGGGACCAAACAAGAAAACCAGGGAAAAAUACGG